AAAAAAAACUUUUCAUCAAAACCCUAAACUCAUCUCCUCUCCUAGCCGCCACCUACCACUCCGGCGACACCCUACCCUCCGCCGCCACCUUCCACUACGGCGCCACCCUACUCUCCGCGGUGGAGCCGUUGUACACGUAGACGAUAUCUCUAGCUGGUCACCGCACCACAACUCUCUCAAUUCCCCGGAAUAGACUCGUCGCCGCUCGCCACCAUCGUUGAGCUCUACUCCGCCUCCGACUGCCUCUCCCUAAUGGACUCCUUGCCACUGUCGUAAAUGGAUCUGAUAUUGUAGUUUGGGAGAAUGUUGAAAUGAUGUUUGGAUUUGAGUGAUAAAUUAGGUUUUAGAUGUAUGAAUCUUAAAGUGAAAGUUAACGUAGUUUUGGAGGAGACCUGUAAUUAUUACUAGAAGAUGCCUUUGCUUGUUCAUUUUUCAUGAAGUUUCAAUGUUGAAGUUUGAUAGUAGAGUGGAGUGAUUCGAGCUUCAAAUUAGUGGACCUGGUGUUAUAGUUUAUGAGGAUAGGAUGAUAAUGACGGAUAGUUUUUAGAAUAUUUGGUGUUAAUUUAUAUAAUUUUAUGUUAUUUUUCUG
This 589-nucleotide long non-coding RNA is filed under the name Helianthus annuus (common sunflower). Its description in RNAcentral is "hypothetical non coding rna". Lineage: Eukaryota; Viridiplantae; Streptophyta; Magnoliopsida; Asterales; Asteraceae. The record is from RNAcentral.